UCAUACGUAACCUUAGAAUCAUCUCACGCAUUAUUGGCAUGUAAUGAUGGUAGCUGAGAGUUGUACAUUUUGAGCGAAUUCCCGGGAAAAGUGAUGGCCAUUUCGAAAAGUUCGAUCCAAAAUUUGCGAAAGCACUUUGACUAUUGCCGAAUAAAAGGGGGCCAUUUUGGAGCAUCACUUACCAUAGAACACCAUGAGGGAACAAACAGAUUAAGUAGUUGCGGUCAGCAGCUCCCUGGACCAUUUGUUGCUGUAAAUAGACGCCGAUCGACUCUGUACAAUUUUUUUUUUCUUUGCUUUAUCAUCAAAAUGUGCUACUUACCCUGCACCUCGACCUCCACUGUCACCUGCAUUGCGAUCGAACGACCAAAGAAAGAGAAAACAAGCAGCGAUAACAGCAAAACAAUUUAAUUGUUAAACGAUUAUUUAUUGAUUAUUUUCAGUCUAAUACCUGCAUUGCGAUCGUAGUAAAUGAAUGCCGCAUACAAAAUGCUUAUCGCUUUCAAAAAAAUAUUUCCAGCGUACUUCCAAAGAACAUGCAAAAUUGAGAGAGAUCUGUUUUUAAGUGAAUGAAAUAGUUGUGUGUGUGUGUUUGUUUUAUUACCACCCAAUAAAUCAUUACGAUCGCGCUAAUAG
Long non-coding RNA from Sitodiplosis mosellana (orange wheat blossom midge), 636 nucleotides. RefSeq lists it as uncharacterized. The record is from RefSeq and is a predicted model, not a curated record. NCBI's taxonomy places the organism in Eukaryota, Metazoa, Arthropoda, Insecta, Diptera, Cecidomyiidae. The transcript is spliced from 3 exons.